This 334-nucleotide ribosomal RNA is filed under the name uncultured Actinomycetes bacterium. RNAcentral's name for it is "bacterial SSU rRNA". It matches the Rfam family "Bacterial small subunit ribosomal RNA", at positions 28 to 351 of the family's 1533-position model. Lineage: Bacteria; Bacillati; Actinomycetota; Actinomycetes. The record is from RNAcentral.
GAUGAACGCUGGCGGCGUGCCUAAUGCAUGCAAGUCGAGCGACGCAUAUCGGAGGGGUAACCCACUGGUAUGACGGAGCGGCGAACGGGUGAGUAACACGUGAGUAACCUGCCCCACAGAUCGGGAUAGCCCAGGGAAACCUGGAUUAAUACCGGAUAUUCUCUUCUAACUUCAUGGUCUGAAGAGGAAAUGCCUUUGUGCUGUGGGAUGGACUCGCGGCUUAUCAGCUAGUUGGUGGGGUAACGGCCUACCAAGGCGUCGACGAGUAGCUGGUCUGAGAGGACGAUCAGCCACACUGGGACUGAGACACGGCCCAGACUCCUACGGGUGGCUG